UUCGCCUACGGGGGGCAGCAGUAAGGGAUAUUGGUCAAUGGGGGAAACCCUGAACCAGCAACGCCGCGUGAGGGAAGACGGUUUUCGGAUUGUAAACCUCUGUCCUCUGUGAAGAUGAUGACGGUAGCAGAGGAGGAAGCUCCGGCUAACUACGUGCCAGCAGCCGCGGUAAUACGUAGGGAGCGAGCGUUGUCCGGAUUUACUGGGUGUAAAGGGAGCGCAGGCGGCACGGCAAGCCUGAUGUGAAAGCCCGCGGCCCAACCGCGGGACUGCAUUGGGAACUACCGGGCUGGAGUGCCGGAGAG
This 305-nucleotide ribosomal RNA is filed under the name uncultured bacterium. Its description in RNAcentral is "bacterial SSU rRNA". It matches the Rfam family "Bacterial small subunit ribosomal RNA", at positions 334 to 656 of the family's 1533-position model. The record is from RNAcentral.